This 62-nucleotide non-coding RNA is filed under the name unclassified sequences. The record is from Rfam.
CCUUUAAUGCAGGUCGCUUGAUAGCGCAACGGUCCACACCCCGUAUGAAUGCAGAUGGAAGG